Molecule: long non-coding RNA, 575 nt
Filed under: Physcomitrium patens
Lineage: Eukaryota; Viridiplantae; Streptophyta; Bryopsida; Funariales; Funariaceae
Description: long non-coding RNA (PPAT_LNC014996)
Source: RNAcentral
UAGAAUUAAGGUUUGAUUAAGGAUUUAGGAUUUGGUUAAGAUUUGAUUUAGAAUUAAGGUUUAGUUUAGGAUUUAUGAUUUGGUUAAGGUUUGAUUUAGGAUUAGGAUUUGGUUAGGAUUUGGUUAGGAUUUAGUUUAGGAUUUGAUUUAGGAUUUAGGAUUUGAUUUAGGAUUUAGGAUUUAAUUUAAGGUUUAGGAUUUGAUUUAGUGUUUAGGAUUUAAUUUAAGAUUUAGGAUUUGAUUUAGGAUUUAGGAUUUGAUUUAGGGUUUAGAAUUUGAUUAGGGUUUGAUUUAGAGUUUGAUGAGGAUUUGAUUUGAGGUUUAGGAUUUUAUUAGAGUUUUUUUAGGAUUUAAGAUUUAGUUAGUUUUUGGCCUAAAGUUUGAAUGAAGUCCAAUAGGAUUUUAAUUAGGAUUAAAUUAAGAUUAAAUUGAGAUAUAUUUGUGAUCAUUCUAAUAUUUCUUUAAGAUUUCUUAUUAUUUCUUUGUAAUUCCUUUGAGGUUUCUUUGAAUUUUAUUAAAGCUUACUUAGUAUUGUUAUGGUCUAAUUAAAGUUUAAUUAUCAUUCUAUUAGAAUU